UACGUAGGAUGCAAGCGUUGUCCGGAAUUAUUGGGCGUAAAGAGCGCGCAGGCGGUAUGACAAGUCAGAUGUGAAAGAGGCCGGCUUAACCGGCAAGGGUCAUUUGAAACUGUCAGACUAGAGUGCAGCAGAGGAUAGUGGAAUUCCCGGUGUAGUGGUGAAAUGCGUAGAUAUCGGGAGGAACACCAGCGGCGAAGGCGGCCCCCUGGCUCGUACCUGACGCUCAGCCACGAAAGCAUGGGGAGCGAACGGG
This 253-nucleotide ribosomal RNA is filed under the name uncultured bacterium. RNAcentral's name for it is "partial 16S ribosomal RNA". It matches the Rfam family "Bacterial small subunit ribosomal RNA", at positions 524 to 776 of the family's 1533-position model. The record is from RNAcentral.